This 452-nucleotide ribosomal RNA is filed under the name uncultured bacterium. RNAcentral's name for it is "bacterial SSU rRNA". It matches the Rfam family "Bacterial small subunit ribosomal RNA", at positions 29 to 501 of the family's 1533-position model. The record is from RNAcentral.
AUUGAACGCUGGCGGCAUGCCUUACACAUGCAAGUCGAACGGCAGCACGGGGGCAACCCUGGUGGCGAGUGGCGAACGGGUGAGUAACACAUCGGAACGUGCCCAGUAGUGGGGGAUAGCUCGGCGAAAGCCGGAUUAAUACCGCAUACGACCUACGGGUGAAAGCGGGGGAUCGCAAGACCUCGCGCUAUCGGAGCGGCCGAUGUCAGAUUAGGUUGUUGGUGGGGAAAGGCCUACCAAGCCGACGAUCUGUAGCUGGUCUGAGAGGACGACCAGCCACACUGGGACUGAGACACGGCCCAGACUCCUACGGGAGGCAGCAGUGGGGAAUUUUGGACAAUGGGCGCAAGCCUGAUCCAGCCAUGCCGCGUGAGUGAUGAAGGCCCUAGGGUUGUAAAGCUCUUUCGCCAGGGACGAUAAUGACGGUACCUGGAUAAGAAGCCCCGGCUAAC